This is a long non-coding RNA of Pogoniulus pusillus (Red-fronted tinkerbird), 786 nucleotides long. RefSeq lists it as uncharacterized. The record is from RefSeq and is a predicted model, not a curated record. NCBI's taxonomy places the organism in Eukaryota, Metazoa, Chordata, Aves, Piciformes, Lybiidae. The transcript has 4 exons.
ACUGACUAAGGAGAGCUUCUGUCUCCACUUUAUAGUACCAUGUUCCUUUGCAGCUGUGUAUGGGCCAGUAAGAGACAUAAUUUUUCCGCUUGAUGUGUGAAGUAUGCUCAAUACAAGAAAGAAAGCAUUGCUAAAGAGUUCAGGUGUACAUCUGCUGCUGACUUUGUUACUGGGAGGAAAUUUGGGUUGAAAGCAAAGUUCUGUUCUCUGAAAAGACUUCGGCUAUUACCCAGCUGUGAGAAUUGAUUUAAGCUGUGUCCCAGUGCAAUGAUGAGAUGUUUAUUUCAAGAAGCUCACGCACGCGGCUCAGUGGAAAACCUGACAAAGACUUUCUGAAAGUGUCUCUGCUCUGGCUACUCUGAAGUCUUUAUUAACUUGGGUAUACUUAUCCCUUCUCAUUGCUUUUCCCCUAUCCACACUGAAAACAAGACAAAUAUAUUUGGAACUCUAUGAAUGAUCCUAAAGCAAAAAGACAUUUCUCUAUUUUUUCUUAAUGGUUGCACGUUCUCAGAGAACAGGAGACAAGAUAAAAACCAUAUGAACAGUAUUACUCAAUAUCCUGAUAGUUCAGUCUUAGAGACUCUUCUGUAAAAACAGAUACUUUUGUUUUUCCACAGUUAACCCUAUUCUAGCUUAUUAAAGAAAAUAUGUACAGCUGUUCAAGACAAAAGCAUACCCUUGUCUGAGGAGAUGUCAUCUGUAAACUUACAUACAGUGUAUUAAACAAGGAUUGUAAUGACAGAACUGUUUUAACUCUGGGGUUUAUGGCUAUUUUGUUACUAUUAC